UAGUUUCAAAAAUAAACAAAAGACAGCUGUAAUUCCAGUUUAAGACUCAUCAAUGAUGCACACAGACAACGAUCAGCAACUGAUCACACCCAGUAGGGCGUCCGUAUACAUUCUCAUGGCAUACAUAACAAAAGGGUGCAAACAUCAAUUAAUUGAUAAUGUUACACGUGUAAUUCCAUUACCAUGGAAGUUCUAUGAAAUUCAAAAAUUAAGUUAAAAAGAUUAAGAUGGUUGAUAUAUUUUCUGGACAUUAGCAAAAAAGACAGCACCCAAACCUAAUUACCACUCAAUGGCAUUUACUCUUCUAUUACAUAUGCUACAUCCAUGCAAUCCAGUAAGGUUGUAAACAAAUAUCUAACAGGAAACAAACAGAAGACGAAUGCUUAUUUUCCAAAGUAGAUAUAAGAAUUUUAACUUGAAAAGUGUGACCAAUAUAGCCCUCGUUUGGCCCCCAUUCUUGGCAAAUUUUAAUGGUUGGAAUAGUGCUUUUUUGAAAAAUAUGUGGUUGAAAAGGAAUGAAAAGUUUUUGAUUUGCGUAUAAUAUUAUUUUAUGGAAGAUUGUGUGGUUGAAAAUAAGAGAGAGAAAAAGAAUGAGAAUGAGAAUGGG
This 607-nucleotide long non-coding RNA is filed under the name Olea europaea subsp. europaea. The record is from RNAcentral. Lineage: Eukaryota; Viridiplantae; Streptophyta; Magnoliopsida; Lamiales; Oleaceae.